Molecule: ribosomal RNA, 253 nt
Filed under: uncultured bacterium
Lineage: Bacteria
Description: partial 16S ribosomal RNA
Rfam family: Bacterial small subunit ribosomal RNA
Source: RNAcentral
UACAGAGGUGGCAAGCGUUGUGCGGAAUUACUGGGCGUAAAGGGCGCGUAGGCGGCCUACUAAGUCAGACGUGAAAUCCCCCGGCUUAACCUGGGAACUGCGUCUGAUACUGGAAGGCUUGAGGAUGGGAGAGGGAUGUAGAAUUCCAGGUGUAGCGGUGAAAUGCGUAGAUAUCUGGAGGAAUACCGGUGGCGAAGGCGGCAUCCUGGACCAUUACUGACGCUGAGGCGCGAAAGCUAGGGGAGCAAACGGG